RNAcentral lists this ribosomal RNA (253 nucleotides) under uncultured bacterium. RNAcentral's name for it is "partial 16S ribosomal RNA". It matches the Rfam family "Bacterial small subunit ribosomal RNA", at positions 524 to 776 of the family's 1533-position model. The record is from RNAcentral.
UACGGAGGGUGCGAGCGUUGUCCGGAAUUAUUGGGCGUAAAGCGCGCGCAGGUGGUUUCUUACGUCUGAUGUGAAAGCCCACGGCUCAACCGUGGAGGGUCAUUGGAAACUGGGGAACUUGAGUGCAGAAGAGGAAAGUGGAAUUCCAAGUGUAGCGGUGAAAUGCGUAGAGAUUUGGAGGAACACCAGUGGCGAAGGCGACUUUCUGGUCUGUAACUGACACUGAGGCGCGAAAGCGUGGGGAGCAAACAGG